ACUCCUACGGGAGUCAGCAGUAGGGAAUAUUGCGCAAUGGACGAAAGUCUGACGCAGCCACGCCGCGUGAGUGAGGAAGGCCUUCGGGUUGUAAAGCUCUGUCAUCCGGGAAAACGGCUAUCUGGGGAAAGUUCAGGUAGCGUGAUGGUACCGGAGGAGGAAGCACCGGCAAACUCUGUGCCAGCAGCCGCGGUAAUACAGAGGGUGCAAGCGUUGUUCGGAAUUACUGGGCGUAAAGCGUGCGUAGUCGGUAUUGAGAGUCACGGGUGAAAUCCCAGGGCUUAACCCUGGAACUGCCUGUGAGACCUCAGUACUAGAGUGUGAGAGGGGAUAGUGGAAUACCCAGUGUAGCGGUGAAAUGCGUAGAGAUUGGGUGGAACACCGGUGGCGAAGGCGGCUAUCUGGCUCACAACUGACGAUCAGGCACGAAAGCGUGGGGAGCAAACAGGAUUAGAUACCCUGGUAGGCUC
Molecule: ribosomal RNA, 470 nt
Filed under: uncultured bacterium
Lineage: Bacteria
Description: bacterial SSU rRNA
Rfam family: Bacterial small subunit ribosomal RNA
Source: RNAcentral